AACAGGAUUAGAUACCCUGGUAGUCCUCGCCGUAAACGAUGUCGACUUGGAGGUUGUGCCCUUGAGGCGUGGCUUCCGGAGCUAACGCGUUAAGUCGACCGCCUGGGGGGUACGGCCGCAAGGUUAAAACUCAAAUGAAUUGACGGGGGCCCGCACAAGCGGUGGAGCAUGUGGUUUAAUUCGAUGCAACGCGAAGAACCUUACCUACUCUUGACAUCCAGAGAACUUAGCAGAGAUGCUUUGGUGCCUUCGGGAACUCUGAGACAGGUGCUGCAUGGCUGUCGUCAGCUCGUGUUGUGAAAUGUUGGGUUAAGUCCCGCAACGAGCGCAACCCUUAUCCUUUGUUGCCAGCGGUUAGGCCGGGAACUCAAAGGAGACUGCCAGUGAUAAACUGGAGGAAGGUGGGGAUGACGUCAAGUCAUCAUGGCCCUUACGAGUAGGGCUACACACGUGCUACAAUGGCGCAUACAAAGAGAAGCGACCUCGCGAGAGCAAGCGGACCUCAUAAAGUGCGUCGUAGUCCGGAUUGGAGUCUGCAACUCGACUCCAUGAAGUCGGAAUCGCUAGUAAUCGUGGAUCAGAAUGCCACGGUGAAUACGUUCCCGGGCCUAGUACACACCGCCCGUCACACCAUGGGAGUGGGUUGCAAAAGAAGUAGGUAGCUUAACCUUCGGGAGGGCGCUUACCACUUUGUGAUUCAUGACUGGGGUGAAGUCGUAACAAGGUAACC
This 730-nucleotide ribosomal RNA is filed under the name uncultured bacterium. RNAcentral describes it as "bacterial SSU rRNA". It matches the Rfam family "Bacterial small subunit ribosomal RNA", at positions 771 to 1501 of the family's 1533-position model. The record is from RNAcentral.